Molecule: ribosomal RNA, 253 nt
Filed under: uncultured bacterium
Lineage: Bacteria
Description: partial 16S ribosomal RNA
Rfam family: Bacterial small subunit ribosomal RNA
Source: RNAcentral
UACGCAGGGUGCAGGCGUUAAUCGGAAUUACUGGGCGUAAAGCGUGCGCAGGCGGUUUGUUAAGACAGGUGUGAAAUCCCCGGGCUUAACCUGGGAAUUGCGCUUGUAACUGGCAGACUAGAGUGUGGCAGAGGGGGGUGGAAUUCCAAGUGUGGCAGUGAAAUGCGUAGAUAUUUGGAGGAACACCGAUGGCGAAGGCAGCCCCCUGGGCUAACACUGACGCUCAUGCACGAAAGCGUGGGGAGCAAACAGG